ACCCUCGGGUGACAGGGAGACAGGUGGUGCAUGGUUGUCGUCAGCUCGUGUCGUGAGAUGUUGGGUUAAGUCCCGCAACGAGCGCAACCCCUACGCUUAGUUGCUAACGCGUGAAGGCGAGCACUCUAGACGAACUGCCGUUGACAAAACGGAGGAAGGUGGGGAUGACGUCAAAUCAUCAUGCCCCUUAUGUUCUGGGCUACACACGUGCUACAAUGGCCGGUACAGACGGACGCAAAGCCGCGAGGUGGAGCAAAUCCUAAAAAGCCGGUCUCAGUUCGGAUUGCAGUCUGCAACUCGACUGCAUGAAGUUGGAAUCGCUAGUAAUCGCAGAUCAGCACGCUGCGGUGAAUAAGUUCUCGGGUUUU
RNAcentral lists this ribosomal RNA (368 nucleotides) under uncultured Pelotomaculum sp. RNAcentral describes it as "bacterial SSU rRNA". It matches the Rfam family "Bacterial small subunit ribosomal RNA", at positions 1016 to 1382 of the family's 1533-position model. Lineage: Bacteria; Bacillati; Bacillota; Clostridia; Eubacteriales; Desulfotomaculaceae. The record is from RNAcentral.